Hydra vulgaris (swiftwater hydra) is the source of this 426-nucleotide non-coding RNA. The record is from RefSeq and is a predicted model, not a curated record. NCBI's taxonomy places the organism in Eukaryota, Metazoa, Cnidaria, Hydrozoa, Anthoathecata, Hydridae.
AUAACAACUCUCAAGGUGUAUCAGCUAAAUUAUCUUUUCGUUUUGAUAGUCUUUAGUCAACAACGGAUUUUUAAAUUGUUAUGAGUCUACAACACUUAAUUUCAGCGAAAUUCAAUUAAAAAGUCAUGUUAUAGAAGACAGAAAAGUAUCAAUAUCUGCUUUCAAUAACUUGGCUUUCAUAGCAAAUCUGAGAGACUGUUUACCGUAACUCCUGUCCUAAUCUAACUUAGUGGGUUCAAAAAGAAGGGACCGCGCUGGAAACAUGAGUGAAUUAAAAGGAUCAGCCCUUUUUGAACUAAUAGUCGAAGUGGUAACUAGCUAGAAGUCGUAACCUGCUCGUAUGAAAGGAUUUCUCGACGUGAAAUUGUUAAUUUUAUUCAACAACGCCAAGAAACAGAGCUCGCUCAAAAAACAGAAAAGAAAGAG